Molecule: RNA transcript, 1714 nt
Organism: Esox lucius (northern pike)
Lineage: Eukaryota; Metazoa; Chordata; Actinopteri; Esociformes; Esocidae
Gene name: endonuclease domain-containing 1 protein-like
Exons: 2
Source: RefSeq, a predicted model, not a curated record
GCAGCCUCAUCAGUCUUCAGUCUACCAACUGGUCUCUGUUACUUCAUAUUUGUCGCUGAGGUGUUCAGUUUUCAGCUGAUAAUGGAAGUGGUGAAGCUUCUCUCUGCUCUCCUGCUUGUCUCUUUCCUUCCUCCUGGAUUCUCUCGCGUUGUGAACAAAUUCAGUGACAUUCCAGAGUGUGAGUCAUUCUUCAUGGAUAAAAUGACUCCAAAUAUUCCAGGUAUUUUGGUUGACGGGAUUGUCAAAGAUCAGAACCGCUACAAGCCAAUUUGUCAGAUGUUCAAAAACGUCUACAGAUUUGCAACAAUUUAUGACACAACCAGCAGAAUCCCUGUGUUUUCAGCCUAUACCUUCACUGGUUCUGCUGGAAGCAUUAAAAGACCAGCAUGGAAGAUUGAACCGCAGGUAAUCCUGAUCCCUUCACGUGUUUCGGGAAGAAGACCGUCAUUCUACUGGUCUGACCCUGGAUAAACAGGAGGGAGAACCUAACAUGGAAUUGGCGAUACCGGGAGUCAUUUACAACAACCAGGCUGUCAAAGAGGACUACGUCGGGUCAGAGGUCACAAAAAAGGUCAACAGAGGUCACAUGUUUCCUAAUGAGUUUGCGAUUGAUCAAGACACUAAGAAUUCCACUUUCACCAUGACCAACUGCGUUCCACAAGCAGAAACCUCUAAUGCAUUCAGCUGGUGUAGAAUGGAAAGUAAAGUCAAAAAGAUUAUUGAAGACAACUGCAAGGAUCCCAACAAGAAAGCCUACCUGGUGACGGGGGCGGUUCCUGGGGACGACAUAUUGAACAACAGAGUGAACAUCCCAUCUUAUCUGUGGUCUGCCUACUGCUGUUACAACAGUAACCAGCAACAGUGGAUGGCCAAGGGGUAUUGGAGCAAAAAUGAACAGGAGGUGUGUGGGAAGAAAAGGUUGCUUCCAAAAACCUUGAAAGAUUUGUAUAAAGACCUGGAGCCCUUUUACCCCAGUGCUGAAGUCAAAGUCAGUUUAUUUUCCCAGCAGUGUCCAGUUGAUUUCACGCUAAAGGUAGCAGGUGAAGAUGAGGAAGAUGAAGAUUUUUAUGAGACAGAAGUCAGUGGGGAGGAUGAGGAGUGUCCCUGUCCCCCUCAAAGUCCUUUCAUGACCUGGGCAUGGGUCAAAAGUCAGAUCUCUAAGGUGAUUGAAGAAGUAUAUCUAAACUUUAUAAAAAUAUUUUUAUAGGCUGAAUAAACCAAUGCUAAGAGCCUUCUAAAACAAUGGAAAUCACUAACAAUGGUAUUAUAUAACUUUUUUUGCUCCAAGUAUCAUUGGUUUGGCUUUUAAAAGUACAUGAAAAGUUUCAUCAGAAAUAUCCACAUCUGCUAAUCACAGUAGCAGGCAUUAUAGUACAUAUCUAAAAUAAAAGCCCAUCUCUUAACAACAACAAGCCCACGGGCUACUGAUAUGACAGUUAGUCUUUAUUUAAAGUUUUACAUUUAUCUGCAUUUUAAAAUCCAGUUUAGAAUGCAACUUUCCCAGAAUCCCUAGGUUCUCCAGAAAUACAUGUUGGAGGAUUCUGGAUUUCCUAGUUAUUCAUCAUUGAUUAAUGGGAGACGUCCAAAUCGGGUUUAGUUGGACACGUUUUGGGAAAGUUACCAGAUGUCAGCAUCCCAAAUAUUAUUGCAUGUAACUAGAAUGUUGUCUUUGAAAUAACAACGUUUCAUGUAAAAUAAAUCACAUUAAAUAGUG